GAAGUUAAUGUGGAAGCCAGCAAUCGCAUUUCGUUUUCAUGUUACCAGCUACCUCUGAUAAGCAUUUCAUCAUAACAAUUCGAUUUUCAGGGUGAUCCAUUGCAAAAGAGUGUGCCGAAAGGAAAUUUAACAAGUGGACUUGUGCACUUCUGAAACCUGAUUCAUUCCAUGACAUAAUGCAUAUUGCAGGCAUCCUGUCUCUGGAACUGUGUUGUCAAGAAAAAGAGUGCUAUGUUCUCAGUGUUCUACUCGGCCGUGAACUUCCUGGGGCCACAUAACCCUGGGACUGGCCGGCACAGUAGGAGCUAAAUAAAUGACUUCUAAGAGCUUUGGAUAUAAUAAUUGGAAUGAGGCUAUUCUAGAAGGUGGAGAACUUUUGCAUAAAAAUUAAACCAUUCCCCACGGACAUCAGUUAAUAUCAGAGAAAAAAGGAACUCAAGCAUCAUUUGUCAUUUCUGACAGCAAUGCUGAGUGGCCUAACGAAAACUGCCAUGGUUGUCUUGUUGAAGGGGUCCUUCAUUUGCCUCCCACGCUAUGUGGUAUCCUUCCUACAGCUAUCCACCUCCCUCCACAACCCCUGAACCUGGCUGCCAAGUGCACGCAGAUCAAAAUAGACAGGAGGUGAGCAUAUA
Molecule: long non-coding RNA, 632 nt
Organism: Aethalodelphis obliquidens (Pacific white-sided dolphin)
Lineage: Eukaryota; Metazoa; Chordata; Mammalia; Artiodactyla; Delphinidae
Exons: 4
Source: RefSeq, a predicted model, not a curated record